AACGAACGCUGGCGGCAGGCCUAACACAUGCAAGUCGACCGCUGUAGCAAUACAGAGUGGCAGACGGGUGAGUAACACGUGGGAAUCUUCCUAUCGGUACGGAAUAGCUCAGGGAAACUUGGGGUAAUACCGCAUACGCCCUUCGGGGGAAAGAUUUAUCGCCGAUAGAUGAGCCCGCGUCUGAUUAGCUAGUUGGUGAGGUAAUGGCUCACCAAGGCGACGAUCAGUAGCUGGUCUGAGAGGAUGACCAGCCACACUGGGACUGAGACACGGCCAAGACUCCUCCGGGGGGCAGCAGUGGGGAAUGUUGGACAAUGGGCGCAAGCCUGGUCCAGCCAUGCCGCGUGAGUGACGAAGGUCUUCGGAUUGUAAAGCUCUUUUGGCGGGGACGAUAAUGACGGUACCCGCAGAAUAAGCCCCGGCUAACUUCGUGCCAGCAGCCGCGGUAA
This 449-nucleotide ribosomal RNA is filed under the name uncultured bacterium. RNAcentral describes it as "partial 16S ribosomal RNA". It matches the Rfam family "Bacterial small subunit ribosomal RNA", at positions 29 to 523 of the family's 1533-position model. The record is from RNAcentral.